AAACCAGCACCUCAAGUGGUCAGGAUGAUUAUUGGGCCUAAAGCAUCCGUAGCCGGCUCUGUAAGUUUUCGGUUAAAUCUGUACGCUUAACGUACAGGCUGCCGGGAAUACUGCAGAGCUAGGGAGUGGGAGAGGUAGACGGUACUCGGGAGGAAGGGGUAAAAUCCUUUGAUCUUUCGAUGACCACCUGUGGCGAAGGCGGUCUACCAGAACAUGUCCGACGGUGAGGGAUGAAAGCUGGGGGAGCAAACCGGAUUAGAAACCCGAGUAGUCC
This 274-nucleotide ribosomal RNA is filed under the name uncultured bacterium. RNAcentral's name for it is "partial 16S ribosomal RNA". It matches the Rfam family "Archaeal small subunit ribosomal RNA", at positions 473 to 747 of the family's 1478-position model. The record is from RNAcentral.